RNAcentral lists this transfer RNA (73 nucleotides) under bacterium. RNAcentral's name for it is "tRNA-Trp". It matches the Rfam family "tRNA". From Rfam's summary of the family: Transfer RNA (tRNA) molecules are approximately 80 nucleotides in length. Their secondary structure includes four short double-helical elements and three loops (D, anti-codon, and T loops). RNAcentral also lists the same sequence under 4 other names. The record is from RNAcentral.
AGGUCAGUAGCUCAAUUGGUAGAGCAGCGGUCUCCAAAACCGCUUGUUGGGGGUUCGAGUCCCUCCUGACCUG